GUACUGUGCGAACGUUAUUCGGAAUCACUGGGGCUUAAAGGGGUGCGUAGGCGGUCGAUCAAGUCAGAUGUGAAAUGCCUGAGCUCAACUGAGGCACUGCGUUUGAAACUGAUCGACUUGAGUAUUUCAGGGGUAUGCGGAACUGCCAGUGGAGCGGUGAAAUGCGUUGAUAUUGGCAGGAACACCAGUGGCGAAGGCGGCAUACUGGGGAAUAACUGACGCUGAGGCACGAAAGCCAGGGUAGCGAACGGGAUUAGAUACCCCGGUAGUCCUGGCUGUAAACGAUGAGUACUGGGCGGGAGGAAGUUCGCUUCUUCCUGCCGUAGCGAAAGCAUUAAGUACUCCGCCUGGGGAGUAUGGUCGCAAAGGCUG
Molecule: ribosomal RNA, 372 nt
Filed under: uncultured organism
Description: partial 16S ribosomal RNA
Rfam family: Bacterial small subunit ribosomal RNA
Source: RNAcentral